Molecule: ribosomal RNA, 1636 nt
Filed under: uncultured Escherichia sp.
Lineage: Bacteria; Pseudomonadati; Pseudomonadota; Gammaproteobacteria; Enterobacterales; Enterobacteriaceae
Description: partial 16S ribosomal RNA
Rfam family: Bacterial small subunit ribosomal RNA
Source: RNAcentral
AGAGUUUGAUCCUGGCUCAGAUUGAACGCUGGCGGCAGGCCUAACACAUGCAAGUCGAACGGUAACAGGAAGCAGCUUGCUGCUUCGCUGACGAGUGGCGGACGGGUGAGUAAUGUCUGGGAAACUGCCUGAUGGAGGGGGAUAACUACUGGAAACGGUAGCUAAUACCGCAUAACGUCGCAAGACCAAAGAGGGGGACCUUAGGGCCUCUUGCCAUCGGAUGUGCCCAGAUGGGAUUAGCUAAUAGGUGGGGUAACGGCUCACCUAGGCGACGAUCCCUAGCUGGUCUGAGAGGAUGACCAGCCACACUGGAACUGAGACACGGUCCAGACUCCUACCGGGAGGCAGCAGUGGGGGAAUAUUGCACAAUGGGCGCAAGCCUGAUGCAGCCAUGCCGCGUGUAUGAAGAAGGCCUUCGGGUUGUAAGCACCUUUCAGCGGGGGAGGAAGGGACCGAAGAGUUAAUACCUUGCUCAUUGACGUUACCAACGCGAGAAGAAGCUUACCAGGCGCUAACAUCCGAUUGGCCAGCCGAGCCCGCGGUCACAUACGGAGGGUGCGAAGCCUUACAUUCGUGGUGGGGACCUUCAAUUACUGGAGCGUAAAAAGCGCUGCGCGAGGCGGUCCGUCUAAGUCAGAUGUGAAAUCCCCGUGGCUUCAACCUGGGAGCUGCAUCUGAUACUGGCGAAGCGUCUGAGUCUCGUAGAGGAGGGUAGAAUUCCAUCGUGUAGCGGUGAAAUGCGUAGAGAUCUGGGAGGAAUACCGGUGGCGAAUGGCGACCCCUUGUGACGAUAACGUGUACAGCUGCAGGCUGCGAAAGCGUGGGGAGCAAACAGGAUUAGAUACCCUGGUAGUCCGACGCCGUAAACUUUGAUGUCUUACAAUGGAGAGUAGUGCCCUUGCAGAGCGUUACUUCCCCCCAUCGGAUGUCUAACGCAGUUAAGUCCACCGCCUGGUUAGGAGCUUCAUCGGCCGCAUGGCCUUUUGUCCCUAAAACGUCAAAUGAAUUGACGGUGGCCUCCAUUGACACAUCAGCGGUGGAGCAUGUGGUUUAAUUCGACCGCGUAACGCGAUAGAACCUCUUAUACAAGUCUUUGACAUCCAGAGAACUUUCCAGAGAUAGGGUUGGUGCCUUCGGGAGCUCUUGUUUGACAGGUGCUGCAUGGCUGUCGUCAGGACAUCGUGUCCCGUGAGAUGUUGGGUUAAGUCCCGCAACGAGCGCAACCCUUGGCUUCUCUAGUUGCCGUAGCGAGUAAGGGUUUCAGGGAACUCGUAAGGAGACUGCCGGUGACCAAACCGGAGGAAGGUGGGGAUGACGUCAAGUCAUCAUGGCCCUUACGACCUGGGCUACACACGUGCUACAAUGGGCGGUACAAAGGGUUGCCAAACCGCGAGGUGGAGCUAAUCCCGUAAAACCGUUCGUAGUCCGGAUUGGAGUCUGCAACUCGACUCCAUGAAGUCGGAAUCGCUAGUAAUCGUAAAUCAGAACGUUACGGUGAAUACGUUCCCGGGCCUUGUACACACCGCCCGUCACACCAUGGGAGUGGGUUGCAAAAGAAGUAGCUAGUCUACCGCAAGGGGGACGGUUACCACUUUGUGAUUCAUGACUGGGGUGAAGUCGUAACAAGGUAACCGUA